AAACUAACAAGGAUUCCCCUAGUAACGGCGAGUGAAGCGGGAAGAGCUCAAAUUUGAAAUCUGGUAGCCUUCGGUUGCCCGAGUUGUAAUCUAGAGAAGUGUUUUCCGUGCCGGCCCAUGUACAAGUCCCUUGGAACAGGGCGUCAUAGAGGGUGAGAAUCCCGUCCUUGACAUGGACCCCCGGUGCUUUGUGAUACACUUUCAACGAGUCGAGUUGUUUGGGAAUGCAGCUCAAAAUGGGUGGUGAAUUCCAUCUAAAGCUAAAUAUUGGCGAGAGACCGAUAGCGAACAAGUACCGUGAGGGAAAGAUGAAAAGCACUUUGGAAAGAGAGUUAAACAGUACGUGAAAUUGUUGAAAGGGAAACGAUUGAAGUCAGUCAUGCUCUUAGGAUUCAGCCGUUCUGCGGUGUAUUUCCUUUGAGUGGGGUCAACAUCAGUUUUGAUCGAUGGAUAAAGGCACGAGGAAGGUAGCACUCUCGGGUGAACUUAUAGCCU
This 495-nucleotide ribosomal RNA is filed under the name Naganishia adeliensis. Its description in RNAcentral is "eukaryotic LSU rRNA". It matches the Rfam family "Eukaryotic large subunit ribosomal RNA", at positions 62 to 563 of the family's 3401-position model. Lineage: Eukaryota; Fungi; Basidiomycota; Tremellomycetes; Filobasidiales; Filobasidiaceae. The record is from RNAcentral.